CCUACGGGAGGCAGCAGUGGGGAAUAUUGGACAAUGGGCGAAAGCCUGAUCCAGCAAUGCCGCGUGAGUGAUGAAGGCCUUCGGGUCGUAAAGCUCUUUUACCAGGGAUGAUAAUGACAGUACCUGGAGAAUAAGCUCCGGCUAACUCCGUGCCAGCAGCCGCGGUAAUACGGAGGGAGCUAGCGUUGUUCGGAAUUACUGGGCGUAAAGAGUACGUAGGCGGUUAUUCAAGUCAGAGGUGAAAGCCCGGGGCUCAACCCCGGAACUGCCUUUGAAACUAGAUAACUAGAGUCUUGGAGAGGUUAGUGGAAUUCCGAGUGUAGAGGUGAAAUUCGUAGAUAUUCGGAAGAACACCAGUGGCGAAGGCGACUAACUGGACAAGUACUGACGCUGAGGUACGAAAGCGUGGGGAGCAAACAGGAUUAGAUACCCUGGUAGUCCACGCCGUAAACGAUGAUAACUAGUUGUUCGGUCACUUGGUGACUGAGUGACGCAGCUAACGCAUUAAGUUAUCCGCCUGGGGAGUACGGUCGCAAGAUUAAAACUUAAAUGAAUUGACGG
This 561-nucleotide ribosomal RNA is filed under the name uncultured bacterium. Its description in RNAcentral is "bacterial SSU rRNA". It matches the Rfam family "Bacterial small subunit ribosomal RNA", at positions 338 to 916 of the family's 1533-position model. The record is from RNAcentral.